UACGUAGGGUGCGAGCGUUGUCCGGAAUUAUUGGGCGUAAAGGGCUCGUAGGCGGUUUGUCGCGUCGGGAGUGAAAACCUCGGGCUUAACUCGGGGCUUGCUUUCGAUACGGGCAGACUGGAGGUAUGCAGGGGAGAACGGAAUUCUUGGUGUAGCGGUGAAAUGCGUAGAUAUCAAGAGGAACACCUGAGGUGAAGACGGGUUGCUGGGCUGACACUGACGCUGAGGCGCGAAAGCCAGGGGAGCAAACGGG
This 253-nucleotide ribosomal RNA is filed under the name uncultured bacterium. RNAcentral's name for it is "partial 16S ribosomal RNA". It matches the Rfam family "Bacterial small subunit ribosomal RNA", at positions 524 to 776 of the family's 1533-position model. The record is from RNAcentral.